AUCUAUGGGCAUGCUAUCCUGAACAAGCCCGAUCCCGGCUGAUCACGGAAGCUAAGCAGGGUCAAGCCUGUUCUUGGUUAGUACUUGGAUGGGAGACCACCUAGGAAGACCAGGUGCUGUAGGCA
This 125-nucleotide ribosomal RNA is filed under the name Pteropus alecto (black flying fox). Lineage: Eukaryota; Metazoa; Chordata; Mammalia; Chiroptera; Pteropodidae. The record is from RNAcentral.